UCUCCCUCCCUUUGUGGUGGUGUGUGUGCUAUUCCAAGGGCUUGAGAUCAAAUCUUAAGUAUUUUUCUCUUUCCUCUCUGAAGAAGACGUUCAUCCCUCUCUUCUACAAAGUUUGGGGUGCAUGCGAAGUAGAAGAUCCGCACAUCCGAUUCUCGUGAAGCAUAUUGAUCGAGGAGUUUCUUCAACUUUGUUCUUUUCCACUACAAAUUAAGAUAAGAAUUUAUAAACAUUAUGAAAAUUUUAAUUGCUAAUCUAUUCUAUUUUUCUGGCAGUCAAUGUGAUCAGAUGAAUUUUUUUUUAUAAGGUACUGUCGGGU
This 316-nucleotide long non-coding RNA is filed under the name Elaeis guineensis (African oil palm). RNAcentral's name for it is "long non-coding RNA (EGUI_LNC037775)". The record is from RNAcentral. Lineage: Eukaryota; Viridiplantae; Streptophyta; Magnoliopsida; Arecales; Arecaceae.